GACAGAGGGUGCAAACGUUGUUCGGAUUUACUGGGCGUAAAGAGCGUGUAGGCGGCCAGGUAGGUCAGCUGUGAAAACUCGAGGCUCAACCUCGAGACGUCGGUUGAAACCACCUGGCUAGAGUCCGGAAGAGGAGAGUGGAAUUCCUGGUGUAGCGGUGAAAUGCGCAGAUAUCAGGAAGAACACCCGUGGCGAAGGCGAGUUCCUGGACAGUUACUGACACUGAGGCACGAAGGCCAGGGGAGCAAACGGG
This 253-nucleotide ribosomal RNA is filed under the name uncultured bacterium. RNAcentral describes it as "partial 16S ribosomal RNA". It matches the Rfam family "Bacterial small subunit ribosomal RNA", at positions 524 to 776 of the family's 1533-position model. The record is from RNAcentral.